This 522-nucleotide ribosomal RNA is filed under the name uncultured bacterium. RNAcentral describes it as "bacterial SSU rRNA". It matches the Rfam family "Bacterial small subunit ribosomal RNA", at positions 551 to 1074 of the family's 1533-position model. The record is from RNAcentral.
UAACUGGGCGUAAAGGGCACGCAGGCGGUGACUUAAGUGAGGUGUGAAAGCCCCGGGCUUAACCUGGGAAUUGCAUUUCAUACUGGGUCGCUAGAGUACUUUAGGGAGGGGUAGAAUUCCACGUGUAGCGGUGAAAUGCGUAGAGAUGUGGAGGAAUACCGAAGGCGAAGGCAGCCCCUUGGGAAUGUACUGACGCUCAUGUGCGAAAGCGUGGGGAGCAAACAGGAUUAGAUACCCUGGUAGUCCACGCUGUAAACGAUGUCGAUUUGGGGGUUGAGCUUUAAGUUUGGCGCCCGUAGCUAACGUGAUAAAUCGACCGCCUGGGGAGUACGGCCGCAAGGUUAAAACUCAAAUGAAUUGACGGGGGCCCGCACAAGCGGUGGAGCAUGUGGUUUAAUUCGAUGCAACGCGAAGAACCUUACCUACUCUUGACAUCCAGAGAACAUUCCAGAGAUGGAUUGGUGCCUUCGGGAGCUCUGAGACAGGUGCUGCAUGGCUGUCGUCAGCUCGUGUCGUGAGAAG